CCUACGGGAGGCAGCAGUGGGGAAUAUUGGACAAUGGGGGCAACCCUGAUCCAGCAAUUCUGUGUGCACGAAGAAGGUUUUCGGAUUGUAAAGUGCUUUCAGCAGGGAAGAAGUAAGUGACGGUACCUGCAGAAGAAGCGACGGCUAAAUACGUGCCAGCAGCCGCGGUAAUACGUAUGUCGCGAGCGUUAUCCGGAAUUAUUGGGCAUAAAGGGCAUCUAGGCGGCCUGACAAGUCAGGGGUGAAAACCUGCGGCUCAACCGCAGGCCUGCCUUUGAAACUGUAAGGCUGGAGUACCGGAGAGGUGGACGGAACUGCACGAGUAGAGGUGAAAUUCGUAGAUAUGUGCAGGAAUGCCGAUGAUGAAGAUAGUCCACUGGACGGAAACUGACGCUGAAGUGCGAAAGCCGGGGGAGCGAACAGGAUUAGAUACCCUGGUAGUCCCGGCCGUAAACGAUGAUUACUGGGUGUGGGCAGGAAGACUGUCUGUGCCGAAACGAAUGCGAUAAGUAAUCCGCCUGGGGAGUACGGCCGCAAGGCUGAAACUCAAAGGAAUUGACGG
This 562-nucleotide ribosomal RNA is filed under the name uncultured bacterium. RNAcentral's name for it is "bacterial SSU rRNA". It matches the Rfam family "Bacterial small subunit ribosomal RNA", at positions 338 to 916 of the family's 1533-position model. The record is from RNAcentral.